CGUAGGUGACGAGCGUUAUCCGGAAUAUUGGGCGUAAAGCGCACGCAAGCGGUUGUUCAAGUCUGACGUGAAAUCUCUUGGCUUAACUGGGAGCGGUCGUUGGAAACUGUUCAGCUUGAGGCGAUGAGAGGGGUGCAGAAUUCCCGGUGUAGUGGUGGAAUGCGUAGAUAUCGGGGGGAAUACCUGUGGCGAAAGCGGCACCCUGGCGUCGUUCUGACGCUCAUGUGCGAAAGCGUGGGGAGCGAACGGGAUUAGAUACCCCGGUAGUCCACGCUGUAAACGAUGAACACUAGGUGUGGGUGGUGUCAAAACUAUCCGUGCCAAAGCCAACGCGUUAAGUGUUCCGCCUGGGAAGUACGGCCGCAAGGCUA
This 371-nucleotide ribosomal RNA is filed under the name uncultured organism. RNAcentral's name for it is "bacterial SSU rRNA". It matches the Rfam family "Bacterial small subunit ribosomal RNA", at positions 526 to 896 of the family's 1533-position model. The record is from RNAcentral.